UACGGGGGGGGCAAGCGUUGUUCGGAAUUACUGGGCGUAAAGGGUUCGUAGGUGGCUUGCUAAGUCAGACGUGAAAUCCCUCAGCUUAACUGGGGAACUGCGUCUGAGACUGGCAAGCUUGAGUGCAGGAGAGGAACGCGGAAUUCCAGGUGUAGCGGUGAAAUGCGUAGAUAUCUGAAGGAACACCAGUGGCGAAAGCGGCUUCCUGGUCCAGUACCGACGUUCAGGCACGAAAGCGUGGGGAGCAAACAGG
RNAcentral lists this ribosomal RNA (253 nucleotides) under uncultured bacterium. Its description in RNAcentral is "partial 16S ribosomal RNA". It matches the Rfam family "Bacterial small subunit ribosomal RNA", at positions 524 to 776 of the family's 1533-position model. The record is from RNAcentral.